GUCAGUCCGGAGAUGAAGAAUGUGGCAAUAACCAUCAUGGAGACAGGAGAAUCAACCUCUUCCACACUCCAGAGAUCCAGGAAUACAUUCUGUUGAUUGCUAAAGUAGUAGGAAUGUUUACCUCCAACUGCAGCUUAACACUCAACCACGGUGGUUAAAUGCCUGUUGCAGGUGGGCACUGAAGCAGUCAUUCCGGCUCACACAGAGGACUCCAUACCUGAGAGCCAUUCUAGUGCUUCACGCUGAGGACUGCAUUUCACCUUUACGACAACCAUAUAAAGUGGGUGCUGUUUUUUCUCUAUUUUUGCUAAUGAGGAAAUGGGGGAGGGAACUGUUUAUUUGCUGGAUGUCAAACCUUGAAGUUAUAAAUAAAAGAGCUAGGAUUUGAACCUGUGUCCUCUGAGAACACCAUGGUGAGACUAAAGUGCAUGAGAUUUAUUAGGAGCAACACCUAUGGAAAGUAAAGGUGAAGCAACAGGGGGCGAGUGGACAGGGAAAUGCUUCAGACGGAUAGGCAGCUGUGAAACCCGAGGAUGGAGAGGGCGAAGGAAAGACUGGGGGUGAGCCAGGGGGACAGCUUCAGGUCGCUGCCCAGAUCCUGGGUCAGGCCAAUGGUUGGGGAGGUAGAUCAAUGGGAGAAACUGGCCUUGGGUGGAAGAGAGCUAGCCUAGGAUCCCACACUGCUCAAGGGCUGCCAGGGAGUAGUCCAGGCUGUGCUUUUAUACACCUGGCAGCCCAGUAGGACUGUUUGCAGCUGGCAUCAAUACAGACAGGGAAGCAAUGCAUGGUGCUGUGACGUCACUCUGACUGCCUCACCACCAGGCAGCCGGGAUUUUCCAGCUCUGUUAUAUUCUUAGGGAACUACCAACAGUCAGCUGUUGACCAAAACCUCCUCAGCCAUCCCCGCUCCAAGCUCUCUAACCCUCCUCUCAGGCAUCUCCUUAAGCACAGCUGGUCACACUGCUUUAUGGAAUCCUCUUUCUUUUAUUUUACACUCCCCAGCCUUUCUCUUACCUCUCUGCUCUCUGACAGUUCUUUAUAUUUCUGCCGCUGGGGUCUCCUCUUUGAUUUAUUAGAGUGCACCUUCCCCGGCUCCCUGCAGCGCUAGCUUCUCUUCUCUACCUACACUAUCCCCUAG
RNAcentral lists this long non-coding RNA (1138 nucleotides) under Marmota monax (woodchuck). The record is from RNAcentral. Lineage: Eukaryota; Metazoa; Chordata; Mammalia; Rodentia; Sciuridae.